CCCGAUGCGCAGCUACACUGCAGUCGAGCGGGGGAGGUAGCUUGCUACUGGACCUAGCGGCGGACGGCCCUGAGUAAUGCUUAGGAAUCUGCCUAUUAGUGGGGGACAACAUUCCGAAAGGAAUGCUAAUACCGCAUACGUCCUACGGGAGAAAGCAGGGGACCUUCGGGCCUUGCGCUAAUAGAUGAGCCUAAGUCGGAUUAGCUAGUUGGUGGGGUAAAGGCCUACCAAGGCGACGAUCUGUAGCGGGUCUGAGAGGAUGAUCCGCCACACUGGGACUGAGACACGGCCCAGACUCCUACGGGAGGCAGCAGUGGGGAAUAUUGGACAAUGGGGGGAACCCUGAUCCAGCCAUGCCGCGUGUGUGAAGAAGGCCUUAUGGUUGUAAAGCACUUUAAGCGAGGAGGAGGCUACUAGUAUUAAUACUACUGGAUAGUGGACGUUACUCGCAGAAUAAGCACCGGCUAACUCUGUGCCAGCAGCCGCGGUAAUACAGAGGGUGCGAGCGUUAAUCGGAUUUACUGGGCGUAAAGCGUGCGUAGGCGGCCAUUUAAGUCAAAUGUGAAAUCCCCGAGCUUAACUUGGGAAUUGCAUUCGAUACUGGAUGGCUAGAGUAUGGGAGAGGAUGGUAGAAUUCCAGGUGUAGCGGUGAAAUGCGUAGAGAUCUGGAGGAAUACCGAUGGCGAAGGCAGCCAUCUGGCCUAAUACUGACGCUGAGGUACGAAAGCAUGGGGAGCAAACAGGAUUAGAUCCCCUGGUAGUCCAUGCCGUAAACGAUGUCUACUAGCCGUUGGGGCCUUUGAGGCUUUAGUGGCGCACCUAACGCCAUAAAGAAACCGCCCGGGGAGUACGGUCGCAAGACUAAAACUCAAAGAAAUUGACGGGGCCCGCACAACGGGGGAACAGGGGUUUAAUUCAUUGCACCGAAAA
This 930-nucleotide ribosomal RNA is filed under the name Acinetobacter venetianus. RNAcentral's name for it is "bacterial SSU rRNA". It matches the Rfam family "Bacterial small subunit ribosomal RNA", at positions 38 to 967 of the family's 1533-position model. Lineage: Bacteria; Pseudomonadati; Pseudomonadota; Gammaproteobacteria; Moraxellales; Moraxellaceae. The record is from RNAcentral.